AUUGAACGCUGGCGGCAUGCCUUACACAUGCAAGUCGAACGGCAGCGCGGGGCAACCUGGCGGCGAGUGGCGAACGGGUGAGUAAUAUAUCGGAACGUACCCUGGAGUGGGGGAUAACGUAGCGAAAGUUACGCUAAUACCGCAUACGAUCUAAGGAUGAAAGCAGGGGACCGCAAGGCCUUGUGCUCCUGGAGCGGCCGAUAUCUGAUUAGCUAGUUGGUGGGGUAAAGGCCUACCAAGGCAUCGAUCAGUAGCUGGUCUGAGAGGACGACCAAGCCACACUGGAACUGAGACACGGUCCAGACUCCUACGGGAGGCAGCAGUGGGGAAUUUUGGACAAUGGGCGAAAGCCUGAUCCAGCAAUGCCGCGUGAGUGAAGAAGGCCUU
RNAcentral lists this ribosomal RNA (387 nucleotides) under uncultured bacterium. Its description in RNAcentral is "bacterial SSU rRNA". It matches the Rfam family "Bacterial small subunit ribosomal RNA", at positions 30 to 418 of the family's 1533-position model. The record is from RNAcentral.